UGGGGAAUAUUGCACAAUGGGCGAAAGCCUGAUGCAGCAACGCCGCGUGAGUGAUGAAGGCCUUCGGGUUGUAAAGCUCUGUCUUUUGGGACGAUAAUGACGGUACCAAAGGAGGAAGCCACGGCUAACUACGUGCCAGCAGCCGCGGUAAUACGUAGGUGGCAAGCGUUGUCCGGAUUUACUGGGCGUAAAGGAUGCGUAGGCGGAUUUUUAAGUGAGAUGUGAAAACCCUAAGCUUAACUUGGGGACUGCAUUUCAUACUGGAAAUCUAGAGUGCGGGAGAGGAGAAUGGAAUUCCUAGUGUAGCGGUGAAAUGCGUAGAGAUUAGGAAGAACACCAGUGGCGAAGGCGAUUCUCUGGACCGUAACUGACGCUGAGGCAUGAAAGCGUGGGUAGCAAACAGGAUUAGAUACCCUGGUAGUCCACGCCGUAAACGAUGAGUACUAGGUGUAGGAGGUAUCGACCCCUUCUGUGCCGCAGUUAACACAAUAAGUACUCCGCCUGGGAAGUACGAUCGCAAGAUUAAAAACUUAAAGGAAUUGAC
RNAcentral lists this ribosomal RNA (544 nucleotides) under uncultured bacterium. RNAcentral's name for it is "partial 16S ribosomal RNA". It matches the Rfam family "Bacterial small subunit ribosomal RNA", at positions 355 to 914 of the family's 1533-position model. The record is from RNAcentral.